UGGGGAAUAUUGGACAAUGGGGGGAACCCUGAUCCAGCCAUGCCGCGUGUGUGAAGAAGGCCUUAUGGUUGUAAAGCACUUUAAGCGAGGAGGAGGGUACUGGUAUUAAUACUACCAGCUACUGGACGUUACUCGCAGAAUAAGCACCGGCUAACUCUGUGCCAGCAGCCGCGGUAAUACAGAGGGUGCGAGCGUUAAUCGGAUUUACUGGGCGUAAAGCGUGCGUAGGCGGCUAAUUGAGUCGGAUGUGAAAUCCCCGAGCUUAACUUGGGAAUUGCAUUCGAGACUGGUUAGCUAGAGUGUGGGAGAGGAUGGUAGAAUUCCAGGUGUAGCGGUGAAAUGCGUAGAGAUCUGGAGGAAUACCGAUGGCGAAGGCAGCCAUCUGGCCUAACACUGACGCUGAGGUACGAAAGCAUGGGGAGCAAACAGG
RNAcentral lists this ribosomal RNA (430 nucleotides) under Pseudomonadota bacterium. Its description in RNAcentral is "Proteobacteria bacterium partial 16S ribosomal RNA". It matches the Rfam family "Bacterial small subunit ribosomal RNA", at positions 355 to 776 of the family's 1533-position model. The record is from RNAcentral. Lineage: Bacteria; Pseudomonadati; Pseudomonadota.